CAAGGCGUAUUCCCCAAGGGCCUUGAUGGAUGCGUCGCCUACGUCGGCUCCGUAGGUGGUGAGCAGGGCACCGUAGUGGAUGGCGCGGAAGCGGGCGCGAUUCCAGGUUGCGUCAUCGAUGGGGCCGUAUGUCUGCCUGAA
RNAcentral lists this unclassified non-coding RNA (141 nucleotides) under plant metagenome. Its description in RNAcentral is "partial contains 5.8S ribosomal RNA, internal transcribed spacer 2, and large subunit ribosomal RNA". The record is from RNAcentral.